This 76-nucleotide transfer RNA is filed under the name Candidatus Poseidoniaceae archaeon. RNAcentral describes it as "tRNA-Ala". It matches the Rfam family "tRNA". From Rfam's summary of the family: Transfer RNA (tRNA) molecules are approximately 80 nucleotides in length. Their secondary structure includes four short double-helical elements and three loops (D, anti-codon, and T loops). The record is from RNAcentral. Lineage: Archaea; Methanobacteriati; Thermoplasmatota; Candidatus Poseidoniia; Candidatus Poseidoniales; Candidatus Poseidoniaceae.
GGGCGCUUAGAUCAGUUGGAAGAUCGCUUGAGUGGCACUCAAGAGGCCGGGGGUUCAAAUCCCCCAGCGUCCACCA